This 1768-nucleotide long non-coding RNA is filed under the name Zonotrichia albicollis (white-throated sparrow). Its description in RNAcentral is "lncRNA (ENSZALG00000001036.1)". Lineage: Eukaryota; Metazoa; Chordata; Aves; Passeriformes; Passerellidae. The record is from RNAcentral.
GUAGUUUUGCAGUUUUUAGGGGGUUUCAGAGCUUUUGGGAGAAAUUUUGGGGUAGUUUCAGGAAAUUACAGGGUUUUUGGGGAGAAAUUUUGGGGGAUUUUUGGGGGAUUUUGGGGUAAGUUCUGGGUAAUUUUGGGGAGUGUUUUGGGGUGAAUCUGGGGUGAUUUUGGGGGUGUUUUGGAGUGAUUUUGGGGCUGUUUUUGAGGCUGUUUUGGGGUGAUUUUUGGGGUGAUUUUGGAGAUGUUUUUGGGAUGUUUUUGGGAUGUUUUUGAGGUGAUUUUGGGGAUAUUUUUGGGAUGAUUUUGAGGUGAAUUUGGGGGUAUUUUUGGGGUAGUUUUGGGGAUGUUUUUGGGGAUAUUUUGGGGAUGUUUUUAGGGUGAUUUUGAGAAUAUUUUGCGGAUGUUUUGGGGAUGUUUUUGGGGUGAUUUUGGGGUGAUUUUGGGGUGAUUUUGAGGAUGUUUUUGGGAUAAUUUUGAGGAUAUUUUGCGGAUGUUUUGGGGAUAUUUCAGGGAUGUUUUUGCGGAUGUUUUUGGGGAUAUUUUGCGGAUGUUUUGGGGAUAUUUUGGGGAUGUUUUUGGGGUGGUUUUGGGUGAUUUUGGGCCCUCUGCCAGGAUCGGAGUCUCGGUGAAGCAGCAGUUCACAGAGGAGGAGAUCUACAAGGACAGGGACAGCCAGAUCGCCGCCAUCGAGANUUUUGGGGUGAUUUCCCUCAAACCCCACAGUCUGACCCAAUUUUGGGGUUUUUUGCCCCGUUUUCCCCAGAGCUGACCCCAAACCCUGCAGUGCUGACCCCAUUUUGGGGUGGUUUCCCACAGUCUGACCCAAUUUUGGGGUUUUUUGCCCCAUUUCCCCCAGAGCUAACCCCAAACCCUUGCUCUGACCCAAUUUUGGGGUUUUUUGCCCUGUUUCCCAGAGCUGACCCCAAACCCCACAGACUGACUCCAAACCCUGCAGUGCUGACCCCAUUUUGGGGUGGUUUCCCACAGUCUGACCCAAUUUUGGGGUUUUUUGCCCCAAACCCCACAGACUGACCCCAAACCCUUGGUCUGACCCAAUUUUGGGGUUUUUUGCCCCAUUUUCCCCAGUGCUCCUGGACCCUGCCGAUGAGAAGCUGCUGGAGGAGGAGAUCCAGGCGCCCACCAGCUCCAAGAGGUGACCCCAGACCCAAAUCCGCCCAAAUCGCAAACGGUUUUGGGGCCAUUUGGGGCAAUUUUGGGGCAAUUUUGGGGGUGAUUUUUGGGGCAGUUCUGGGUUGAUUUUGGGGUGAUUCUGGGGUGAUUUUGGGGGUGAUUUUGGUGUAAUUUUGGGGGUGAUUUUGAGUUGAUUCUGGGAUGAUUUUGGGGGUGAAUUUUGGGGCAGUUCUGGCUAAUUUUGGGGUGAUUCUGGGUUGAUUUAAGGCUGAUUCUGGUGUGAUUUUGGGUUGAUUCUGUGCUAGUUUUGGUCUGAUUCUGGGUUGAUUUUGGUGUAAUUCUGGGCAGAUUCUGGGCUGAUUCUGGGUUAGUUUUGGUCUGGUUUUGGGUUGAUUUUGGGUGAUUUUGGGUUGAUUUUGGGCUGAUUCUGGUGUGAUUUUGGGUGGAUUCUGUGCUGGUUUUGGGCUGAUUCUGGGUUGAUUUUGGUGUAAUUUUGGGCUGACUCUGGGCAGAUUCUGGGUUAGUUUUGGUCUGGUUUUGGGUUGAUUCUGGGUGAUUUUGGUGUCAUUUUGGGCAGACUCUGAGCCGAUUCUGGGUUGGUUUCGGUCCCGUUUUGGGCUGAUUCCGGGUGAUUUUGG